Molecule: ribosomal RNA, 869 nt
Filed under: uncultured Actinomycetes bacterium
Lineage: Bacteria; Bacillati; Actinomycetota; Actinomycetes
Description: bacterial SSU rRNA
Rfam family: Bacterial small subunit ribosomal RNA
Source: RNAcentral
GACGAACGCUGGCGGCGUGCUUAACACAUGCAAGUCGAACGAGGUCCAACCAGUGGCAACACUGGGGAAGACCUAGUGGCGAACGGGUGAGUAACACGUGAGAAACCUACCCCGAAGACUGGGAUAAGCCCCCGAAAGGGGGUCUAAUACCGGAUACCCUCUUCAUGUCACAUGGCGAGAAGAGGAAAGGUCAGCCGCUUCGGGACGGUCUCGCGGCCUAUCAUGCUUGUUGGUGAGGUAACGGCUCACCAAGGCUACGACGGGUAGCUGGUCUGAGAGGACGAUCAGCCACACUGGGACUGAGACACGGCCCAGACUCCUACGGGAGGCAGCAGUGGGGAAUCUUGCGCAAUGGGCGAAAGCCUGACGCAGCAACGCCGCGUGCGGGAUGAAGGCCUUCGGGUUGUAAACCGCUUUCAGUAGGGACGAAAACAGACGGUACCUACAGAAGAAGCACCGGCCAACUACGUGCCAGCAGCCGCGGUAACACGUAGGGUGCAAGCGUUGUCCGGAAUCAUUGGGCGUAAAGAGCUCGUAGGCGGCUUAGUAAGUCGGGUGUGAAAACCCCAGGCUCAACCUGGGGACGCCACCCGAUACUGCUAUAGCUAGAGUCCAGUAGGGGAGUGUGGAAUUCCCAGUGUAGCGGUGAAAUGCGCAGAUAUUGGGAGGAACACCAGCGGCGAAGGCGGCACUCUGGGCUGGUACUGACGCUGAGGAGCGAAAGCGUGGGUAGCGAACAGGAUUAGAUACCCUGGUAGUCCACGCCGUAAACGUUGGGCACUAGGUGUGGGGCCUAUUCAACGGGUUCCGUGCCGUAGCUAACGCAUUAAGUGCCCCGCCUGGGGAGUACGGCCGCAAGGCUAAAACUC